Molecule: unclassified non-coding RNA, 3883 nt
Filed under: Mizuhopecten yessoensis (Yesso scallop)
Lineage: Eukaryota; Metazoa; Mollusca; Bivalvia; Pectinida; Pectinidae
Description: coiled-coil domain-containing protein 124-like, transcript variant X2
Source: RNAcentral
AUUAUUUCAUACCACCGGAAGUUGCAUAUUGCAGCCGAAUUACAACAAACCGAGAAAUUUGGAAAUUUGCGAGUCCAUCUUUAAAUCAAUUUUGACAGACAGUUGAAAAAAUGCCGAAAAAAUUCAAAGGAGAAAAUUCCAAGGCCGUUGGGGCAAAGGCAAGGAAAGCAGCUGUUCAACACGCAGAGAAAGAGAAAAAGGACCAAGCAUUAGAAGAUGAAUAUUGGAGAGACGAUGAUAAACUUAACGCAAAGAAAUUACAACGGAAGGAUGAUAAAGAAAAGAAACGGAUGGAGCAAUUGGAAAGAAAAAAGGAGUUACAGAAAUUGCACGAUGAAGAGAUGGAGGGCAUGAAGUCAAAAGUUAGCUCAGGAGGGAGUUCAAAGGUUACAAGGGCUCAAAUAGAAGACCAGAUUGUAACGGAGAAGAGAAUAGCAGAUGCUGCCACAGCAAAAUCUAAUGCUUUACCGGAAGAGGCACCGCUUGAGGAUAAUGUCAACAGACUGAUUCCGACGGAUGGAGAGGCUCGCAGUGUAGAUGAUGCCCUUUCAGUACUCAGUGUGAAAGAACCAGAAAUUGAUAUACAUCCGGAGAAGAGGGUCAAAGCUGCUUACCAAAAAUACGAAGACGAACGUUUACCACAGCUCAAAAAGGAGAACCCAAAUUUAAGACUUUCACAAUUAAAACAAAUGUUACGAAAAGAUUGGAUGAAGUCUCCAGAAAACCCUUUGAAUCAAAGGCUGAUGCAAUCGUAGCUAGGAGUAUAAUAUCUAUGAAGAUUCGUUUGGUGAUCAGCUAGUGUCAAGCUAUACGAAUCAGUCAGUACAGAUUGUCGGUUUGUCAACAUCCAACACAUGCAGGCAGAACACAUGCAGUUCAGUCUAAAAUCCAGUGACUAUCUGUUAGUAAGAGUCUGGGUUCUUCAUAGUGGGGAUUGUGAUGCUCUGUUAUAGUUUCGCUGGAAGUGGAUCAAUGUUUGGUGCAACAGAGUCCGACAUCAUUAAAUAUGACUGGUAAAAAUGAGACACGUAUUUGAUGGAAGGGAGAUCGAUGUGAUGCUAGAAGACUUUCUAUUCUAAUUGUUUGACAUUGAUCGUGUCAGUCUUCUGUUAACAUACACAUAUUUUAACUAUUCAGUGAAUUGUGUUGUUCUACAUUUCCUCAGUGAAUAUGAAUUAGAUAUUAUAAUAUGUUAAUUGAAUGAGAACAUAUUUCAUGGUUUUUUUCUGUGUUCAAGGAUAACACACAUAUUGAUUUGUUAAUGUUAACCCAGGUGUUGUAAAACAAUUUAAAAUUCUUCCAUUUUGUUUUACCAGAUAAAUGAAGGAUAUUUUGUUGUAAGCAUUUCGUCCAUGUAAACCCCGUAUAAAAGUGCUAGAUACGUUGUUUAAUACAAAUUUAUUUAUACAUGUAUCCAGUUUGUGAAUUUAUUUUUUCAUUAGUUGCCACAUUGAGAGUGUAAUUUCUUCAUAUGUAAAUGCAAGCCAUGUUUUUGUAUUAUAGCAGUGGGACACUGGCAAAUAUGUUCAGCCAGAUGUAAGGGAGGUAAUCCAUUUGUCCUUCGCUAUAACACAUGGGCUGCCAUCACUUAUCACAUGCACUCUCUGUAGAUCUUCCUGACUUUACCCCAGAAAUGUUUAUGUACAUUCGAGUAUCCCGGUUGAAACGGUUCAGGUGGCGCAGAAAUAUUUCACGAUAAACAAACACACUUGGACCCAACUGUAUUCAAAGCUAAAAAAUGCACUAUUUCGGAGAAUAUAAAACAAUAUAUAUAAAGAAUGAUAUUUCCUUCUUUCACAAGUCCACUAAAUUAUAUUAUGUAUCUUAAAAUCUGCAUCUGGAUUGACUUUGUUUUAUAAUGAAAUAAUGCAAACUAGCAAUAGUCAGCAAUUUGGUUUCGGCCAGGCACGUCUAAACCCCUCAAUCAUCAUGUGCCGAAUAUUCCUGAGUUCAGCCUCGGUUCAGAUUUGAGCCUGUCGUUUCCUUUCAGGUUCAACCAUUUCAACUGGUUGGCCUGGAUACGCGAAAGGGGCCAUGUACGUUAACUAAGUGAGGAUGAACCCAAAUGGAUCACUCUUUACAAAAGUACAACAAUUCAUGUUUUAUGAUUUAUUUCAACUAGCAUCAGUAAAUGCAUUUCAAACUAAGAAAAUAGUCUUUGUUUGCGUCAUUAAAUUUAUUAAAUCUAGUGCAUAAAGGGACUAUGCCUUCUGAUUCAGACAAUAGGAUCUAAUGUCCAAGUCUCAAUUCCUACUUACUUAUAUAUUCCAUUACCGUUACCAAGUGUUACUGCAGUCUAUAAUUAUUUGGGUCAUUAAAUAAGCUAAAAAAGUAAAACAAAAGCAAAUCAACUCCUUGUUUAGUUUAGAAAACUAAAGACAGCUAAGCGAAGCAGGCCCGAUUACAUAAGAACUAUUAUAAUUAUAACUGGGGACUACUUCACAAAGGAACUACUUUUUUUAUUUGGAUGAUUUUGGACAGUAUACAUUGAUGAAUGCUUUACCUCGAUAACAUUUGCAUUUAAAGAUAAACCUAAUUUUACACAUUCUCUUCUGUUACUGAAACGUCAUUUAAUUUAUCCAUGUUAUGGCUAAAACGUCAUGUGUUCAUCAUGAUAUACAUUUUGGAUGUGUAUUUUUGUUAGUAAGACAUAAUCUGAUACACUGUAUAGCGAUACAAUAAACUAACAUGUAAGAAAGUGUGAGAUUGCUUCAGGUAUAUUAUAUUUUUGAAAUUCUUGAGACAAGAAUGUUACCAUGUUUCAGUAUUAUAAUAUUUGAAACAAACAGACAUCAUUGCAGAAAUCAAAUAUAUUUAUUAGUUUUUGGUAUCUUUGUACAUGUAUUUCAUUUUUAAUAGUAUAACUCAAUUUGUUGAACUGUUAAAGUAGCAAUGAAAAAGAAUACAACCUUUUUUUUGGACAUUAUUCAUAAAUAAAAGCUGUUACUUAUUUUAGUGUCAGGUGUUAAGUUUUAUGGUAGCUCAUAUUCUACAACAAAAUGUUUACACAAUAUUUAGGUAUCGUAAACUGUUCAGUAAAAAAUCCAAUCAUAUAAGCACUGUCACUACAUUUCAUUGUUUUCUGCAUACAUUUUAUUUCAAUUUGCAUUAUCUUACAUAAACGAAUUCCUCUGCCCAUAUACAGCAUGCAUACAUUUGCAUUUCUUCAAAUUUUUCCAAUAUAGAAAACUUCCUAUCUACUGUACAUCCUUAAAUGACCUUAGCUGUUGAUAGGAUGUUAAACCCUGUAUAACCAACCCUAUCUACUGUAUUGUUUUAGAAUGAUAUAUGUGUUUCUAGUGUGUCUGAUUAUAUCAUUGUACAGUAAAACAUCAUUAUAAAACAUUUAGAUUUUUCUAAGACCUGUUUACCAUUUUAGAUUACCGGACAGGUAGUUUCCGCGGUUACAUUUUUAUGCUUUUUCAAAUAACUUAUUACGAUAUCUCUGUUUUUGGUCAUGUGAUAUUUUAAAAUACUAUGUGAGCUUAUGGUGUGGGACAUCGUCUGUCGUCCAUCAAUUUUUCUUUUAAAACACUAUUAGUCCCGAGCAGUGAUUGUGGAUUUUGAAUAAAUUUUAUUUGGAAUAUACUUAAGCAAAAUGAUUGUGUUGCUUCCCUUGUGUCAGAGGAGUGGGCCCAAGAGGGGGAAGAGAGGAAAAUCUGAAAGUAUAUCCUUCCAUAUUGAUAUAAAUCAAAUUUAGUCAAAAACACCUUUGGGCAAAGGGGAGUGCGUUUGUUGGGAAAUGUAUAUAGACAAAUACAUUUAUCUAUAAAAGUAUAAAAGAUAAGAUAUUAUCAAGUGCUAUCAGCUGUUGGUAACACUUCUCUAACAUUCAAUGAUACAAUGUAUACAUGCUUCUAAUAAACGUUUUGUUUUCACUAAC